RNAcentral lists this ribosomal RNA (346 nucleotides) under Klebsiella pneumoniae. Its description in RNAcentral is "bacterial SSU rRNA". It matches the Rfam family "Bacterial small subunit ribosomal RNA", at positions 1191 to 1533 of the family's 1533-position model. Lineage: Bacteria; Pseudomonadati; Pseudomonadota; Gammaproteobacteria; Enterobacterales; Enterobacteriaceae. The record is from RNAcentral.
CGUUCAAUGUCUUACGACAGGGCUACACACGUGCUACAAUGGCAUAUACAAAGAGAAGCGACCUCGCGAGAGCAAGCGGACCUCAUAAAGUAUGUCGUAGUCCGGAUUGGAGUCUGCAACUCGACUCCAUGAAGUCGGAAUCGCUAGUAAUCGUAGAUCAGAAUGCUACGGUGAAUACGUUCCCGGGCCUUGUACACACCGCCCGUCACACCAUGGGAGUGGGUUGCAAAAGAAGUAGGUAGCUUAACCUUCGGGAGGGCGCUUACCACUUUGUGAUUCAUGACUGGGGUGAAGUCGUAACAAGGUAACCGUAGGGGAACCUGCGGUUGGAUCAACCUCAUAAUAA